RNAcentral lists this ribosomal RNA (230 nucleotides) under uncultured bacterium. RNAcentral describes it as "partial 16S ribosomal RNA". It matches the Rfam family "Bacterial small subunit ribosomal RNA", at positions 563 to 791 of the family's 1533-position model. The record is from RNAcentral.
AAGCGUGCGCAGGCGGUUAUAUAAGACAGAUGUGAAAUACCCCGGGCUCAACCUGGGAACUGCAUUUGUGACUGUAUAGCUGGAGUGCGGCAGAGGGGGAUGGAAUUCCGCGUGUAGCAGUGAAAUGCGUAGAUAUGCGGAGGAACACCGAUGGCGAAGGCAAUCCCCUGGGCCUGCACUGACGCUCAUGCACGAAAGCGUGGGGAGCAAACAGGAUUAGAUACCCUAGU